Molecule: non-coding RNA, 2824 nt
Organism: Schistosoma rodhaini
Lineage: Eukaryota; Metazoa; Platyhelminthes; Trematoda; Strigeidida; Schistosomatidae
Source: Rfam
GGUCAAGCGAAUAAGCGCACACGGUGGAUGCCUUGGCGGUCAGAGGCGAUGAAGGACGUGGCAGCCUGCGAAAAGUAUCGGGGAGCUGGCAACAAGCUUUGAUCCGGUAAUGUCCGAAUGGGGAAACCCACCCGCUUGCGGGUAUCCUGCAGUGAAUACAUAGCUGCUGGAAGCGAACCUGGUGAACUGAAAUAUCUAAGUAACCAGAGGAAAAGAAAUCAACCGAGAUUCCGUAAGUAGCGACGAGCGAACGCGGACUAGCCCUUAAGCUGAUUUGGUUCUAGGAAAACNNNNNNNNNNGAACAUGGGGGGACCAUCCUCCAAGGCUAAAUACUACUGACCGACCGAUAGUGAACCAGUACCGUGAGGGAAAGGCGAAAAGAACCCCGGAGAGGGGAGUGAAAUAGAACCUGAAACCGUGUGCGUACAAGCAGUAGGAGCUCCGCAAGGAGUGACUGCGUACCUUUUGUAUAAUGGGUCAGCGACUUACUGUUCGUGGCAAGCUUAACCGUAUAGGGGAGGCGAAGGGAAACCGAGUCUGAUAAGGGCGCAUAGUCGCGGGCAGUAGACCCGAAACCGGGUGAUCUAGUCAUGCCCAGGGUGAAGGUGCGGUAACACGCACUGGAGGCCCGAACCCACUCCCGUUGCAAAGGUAGGGGAUGAGGUGUGAUUAGGAGUGAAAAGCUAAUCGAACCCGGAGAUAGCUGGUUCUCCUCGAAAGCUAUUUAGGUAGCGCCUCAUAUGUAUCCUCUCGGGGGUAGAGCACUGUUAUGGCUAGGGGGUCAUCGCGACUUACCAAACCAUUGCAAACUCCGAAUACCGAGACGGACUGUAUGGGAGACACACGGCGGGUGCUAACGUCCGUCGUGAAAAGGGAAACAACCCAGACCCACAGCUAAGGUCCCAAAUUCACUGCUAAGUGGAAAACCAUGUGGAAAGGCACAGACAGCCAGGAGGUUGGCUUAGAAGCAGCCACCCUUUAAAGAAAGCGUAAUAGCUCACUGGUCGAGUCGGUCUGCGGGGAAGAUUUAACGGGGCUAAGCAGUGAACCGAAGCUUGGGGUGCAUACUUUGUAUGCGCGGUAGAGGAGCGUUCCGUAAGCCGUUGAAGGUGGAUUGAGAAGUCUGCUGGAGGUAUCGGAAGUGCGAAUGCUGACAUGAGUAACGAUAAUGCGGGUGAAAAACCCGCACGCCGAAAGCCCAAGGUUUCCUUGCGCAACGUUAAUCGGCGCAGGGUGAGUCGGCCCCUAAGGCGAGGACGAAAGUCGUAGUCGAUGGGAAGCAGGUUAAUAUUCCUGCACCUCGCGUAAGUGCGAUGGAGGGACGGAGAAGGUUAGGUGUACCAGGCGUUGGUUGUCCUGGGGAAAGGCGGUAGGUUUGGAUCUUUGGCAAAUCCGGGAUCCUUUAAGACCGAGCACCGAGACGAGCCUUUAAGGCGAAGUCACUGAUACCACGCUUCCAGGAAAAGCUCCUAAGCUUCAGCUUACGCAGACCGUACCGUAAACCGACACAGGUGGGUAGGAUGAGAAUUCUCAGGCGCUUGAGAGAACUCGGGUGAAGGAACUAGGCAACAUGGCACCGUAACUUCGGGAGAAGGUGCACCCUUUUUGGUGGCUCGUGCGAGCUAUAGCUGAAGAGGGUCGCAGUAACCAGGCCGCUGCGACUGUUUAUCAAAAACACAGCACUCUGCAAACACGAAAGUGGACGUAUAGGGUGUGACGCCUGCCCGGUGCUGGAAGGUUAAUUGAUGGGGUCAGCCGCAAGGCGAAGCUCUUGAUCGAAGCCCCAGUAAACGGCGGCCGUAACUAUAACGGUCCUAAGGUAGCGAAAUUCCUUGUCGGGUAAGUUCCGACCUGCACGAAUGGCGUAACGACAGCGGCGCUGUCUCCACCCGAGACUCAGUGAAAUUGAAAUCGCUGUGAAGAUGCAGCGUUCCCGUGGCAAGACGGAAAGACCCCGUGAACCUUUACUAUAGCUUUACACUGAACGUUGAGUUCGUCUGUGUAGGAUAGGUGGGAGGCUAUGAAACUGUGGCGCUAGCUGCAGUGGAGCCAUCCUUGAAAUACCACCCUGUCGUGNNNNNNNNNNNNNNNNNNNNNNNNNNNNNNNNNNNNNNNNNNNNNNNNNNCCCAUUAUCUGGGUCGGGGACCGUGUAUGGUGGGUAGUUUGACUGGGGCGGUCUCCUCCUAAAGAGUAACGGAGGAGCUCGAAGGUACGCUCAGCGCGGUCGGACAUCGCGCACUGUGUGCAAAGGCAUAAGCGUGCUUGACUGCAAGAUCGACGGAUCAAGCAGGUAGGAAACUAGGACUUAGUGAUCCGGUGGUUCUGUAUGGAAGGGCCAUCGCUCAACGGAUAAAAGGUACUCCGGGGAUAACAGGCUGAUACCGCCCAAGAGUUCAUAUCGACGGCGGUGUUUGGCACCUCGAUGUCGGCUCAUCACAUCCUGGGGCUGUAGUCGGUCCCAAGGGUAUGGCUGUUCGCCAUUUAAAGUGGUACGCGAGCUGGGUUCAGAACGUCGUGAGACAGUUCGGUCCCUAUCUGCCAUGGGCGUUGGAGAUUUGAGAGGGGCUGCUCCUAGUACGAGAGGACCGGAGUGGACGAACCUCUGGUGUUCCGGUUGUCACGCCAGUGGCAUUGCCGGGUAGCUAUGUUCGGAAGCGAUAACCGCUGAAAGCAUCUAAGCGGGAAGCGCGCCUCAAGAUGAGAUCUCCCGGGGCACAAGCCCCCUGAAGGAACCAUGUAGACUACGUGGUUGAUAGGUCAGGUGUGUAAGUACAGCAAUGUAUUGAGCUAACUGAUACUAAUGAUCCGUGCGGCUUGACCAU